UAUCGGAACGAGGUGCACCACACUGCUGGGGAGCGAACCCAGGUCUUGCAGGAUGUAGCUUCUGAUCCAACUCUUCCCAGAACCAAGACUGUCCGCUGCAAUCUCUGUGGGCAUGGAGAGGCUGUUUUCUUCCAGGCCGCAGCAAGAGGGGAGGAGGGGAUGACCCUGUGUCUUUGUGUGCUGUAGCCCUGAUUGUGGUCAUCGGUGGAGUGAAUGAUGCGAUGAAAUCUUUGCUCUAAUAGUUGUUUCAUCAGAGCAUGAAACUUAACUUGUUUUGUAGUUUUCUUGGAACUAUGUAUUUCGAAUCUGUCCUAAGAUUAAUGAGAGAAUGUCUUUCCAAUA
Long non-coding RNA from Zea mays, 342 nucleotides. RefSeq lists it as uncharacterized. The record is from RefSeq and is a predicted model, not a curated record. Lineage: Eukaryota; Viridiplantae; Streptophyta; Magnoliopsida; Poales; Poaceae. The transcript has 2 exons.